CACAUUAUUUUAAGAUCCCUGGAUUUCUGUUCCAAGACAAGUAGGAUGGAUCUCCAAGAGGUCUGCAAAUAGAGAAAUAUAGCAAUGUUAGCUCACAGGUACAUUAGAAAUAAGAAAAAAUAUUUAUCAGUUUUUCUCUACUAUGUAGCCAUAUGAAUUUCCUAACAUAAAUUUGAGGUUAAAUUGCACUUUUGGUCCCCUAACUUUUACAAACUUGCGAUUUUGACCUCAUAACUUCCAUAAUAGCCCUUUUGACCUUCUAACUUUCAAAACAUGCGAUUUUUGCCCCCAGAAUUUAGCCCCUUUUGCAAAAAGAUGGCCCCACUGAUUUUGGCCAAGUAAAUGCACACGUUACAAGUGACUCACAUGCCACAUCAGCAUGACUUGCCACAUAUGCUGAGGUGGCAUGUGAGUCAUUGUCCACAUGGCAAGACAUGGGCUAAAAGUGCAAUUUAGCCUAAAUUUAAUUAGAACUUAUGUCAAUUUCAACCAAUUGAAAAAUGCGUAUUCAAAUGUGAGUGUCACAAAAUGUGCCGCUAGCAUUUCGCAUCUCAUAUAAUAUGGCUUGAUGAUUCCAAAUGUAAUAUCAUGAUAUUCUGUCAUAAAAAAUAAAUGUAGAACCAUAAAGGUGUAUAUGAUGAGCACAAUAUUUCAUUUGAUUACCUUGGCUUGAUAACAUACAGAAGAAUGAAUCCUAUGGCACAGAACAAGGAUAGGCCACCAACAACAAGGUAUGCCAUCCCUAAGAAGGGAUUUUUCCCACCAAUCCAAGUAGUUGUUGAUAGAACUAGAUUCUUUUUACCUCCAAAUUCAUAUGUGUUAUAAUUGUUCUGUAUUACUAUUUCGAUCUCAUUAUUAGCUUCAAGAUCAGUCUCUAUCUUCCCAUACAGUUUUCGAAAAGUUGGCAGUGCUGCUGUUCGCAUCCACACAAUGAGAUCCUCUUGUUCGCUCAACUGAUGCAUCGCGACAAGUCAUAGGUUAGUUAUCAUAAAAGCAACUUACUUUUCGGUAUAAAAAUAGUUAAACAUAAACUUAUAUGAUAAAUUGUUGUGCUAUAAACGCUUAACAAACUGUUUAUCCAAACGUGAUCUUACAGGUAUGCUUUCAUCGAGUUUUCCACCUCCAAUCAAUUCUCCACUCUGAAAAUUUUUAGGAUAAACAUUAGGACCAAAUUUAGAACCUCUGUCACUUGACCAUGCUAUGUUCUUUUUGUUGACAGUUAAAUCCUUGUUGUUCAUGGAAAAUUUGUAGGUGUCAUUGAACAGACUCCAUGCAAUAAGGCCACAAGGAACAAUCGGCGCAUUUCCUUUUGUUUUGUCUUCUGGAGAACAGUUACUUGUGUCACUCUCAGAUGCUUUAUUCCACAAUUGCUUAUCACUUCUACUCUUAACAUAUCUGCAAGAAUUAAUCAUCCAAAAUCAUAUUAACGGCAACAUUAAAAAAAUAUGCAUCAAAUCCUCAAAUAGUGGCUAGCGCCUAGCGGUGCUAUAGUGCUACUGCAUAACGAAAUUUGAACAAGUUGCUAUUGUUACGCGAUACGCUACUUAGUACAAAAUAUUGUGAAUAUAGCCGCGCUGUAGCACUGUUGCAUAGCAUAAUUUGAUCAAACUGUUAUUUUCUGCGAUCUGCAAUUAACACCACUUAAAUUGUGCGUACCUGCGAUGAUUUUGAUAGUAAUUAUCAAGUUGAUAGUAGAUGAAAAUAGGAGCUUGCAUUUUGUGCUCAACCUGUAAAGUUUACGAAUAAUUAUUUCUGAUAAGGUAAAAAUAAAAAAUGAAACUCUUCUGAUACAGAAAAGUGAAUUAUGAACUAACAGUCCAUUUGUGGGUGCAGGUCUUGUUAGUGGUAGCACUUUUAAUAUAUGCAACUGCAUUAUCAGCAUCCGAAGAAGGAAGACACGUGUCGUCGUAUCUAAAUACAGCUUCCUCCAC
RNAcentral lists this long non-coding RNA (1931 nucleotides) under Trifolium pratense (red clover). Its description in RNAcentral is "long non-coding RNA (TPRA_LNC003229)". Lineage: Eukaryota; Viridiplantae; Streptophyta; Magnoliopsida; Fabales; Fabaceae. The record is from RNAcentral.